RNAcentral lists this ribosomal RNA (446 nucleotides) under uncultured bacterium. Its description in RNAcentral is "bacterial SSU rRNA". It matches the Rfam family "Bacterial small subunit ribosomal RNA", at positions 330 to 793 of the family's 1533-position model. The record is from RNAcentral.
UCCAGACUCCUACGGGAGGCAGCAGUGGGGAAUAUUGCACAAUGGGGGAAACCCUGAUGCAGCGACGCCGCGUGAGUGAAGAAGUAUUUCGGUAUGUAAAGCUCUAUCAGCAGGGAAGAUAAUGACGGUACCUGAGUAAGAAGCCCCGGCUAACUACGUGCCAGCAGCCGCGGUAAUACGUAGGGGGCAAGCGUUAUCCGGAUUUAUUGGGUUUAAAGGGUGCGCAGGCGGAGGUGCAAGUCAGUGGUCAAAUUGCGGGGCUCAACCCCGUACUGCCGUUGAAACUGCAUCCCUUGAGUGCGCGAGAAGUAUGCGGAAUGCGUGGUGUAGCGGUGAAAUGCAUAGAUAUCACGCAGAACUCCGAUUGCGAAGGCAGCAUACCGGCGCUCAACUGACGCUCAUGCACGAAAGCGUGGGUAUCGAACAGGAUUAGAUACCCGCGUACG